This 239-nucleotide long non-coding RNA is filed under the name Ananas comosus (pineapple). RNAcentral describes it as "long non-coding RNA (ACOM_LNC039291)". Lineage: Eukaryota; Viridiplantae; Streptophyta; Magnoliopsida; Poales; Bromeliaceae. The record is from RNAcentral.
UGAUUGAAAUCUAAUCCGAUAAACAUGAUCUACGAAUUUCGAUCUGCGAAAAAUCAGUGUCUAAAAUUUAUGAUUUUUUUUUUUUUGAGAGAGGAAGGUAGCAUGCUACCUGCUUCGUUUAUUUAAUUUAGAAAUAAACUUAGCUGAAAAUGUGAAUCAACUAGGAUUCGAAUUUGGGUCUCGGGUACCGACCAUCAAGCCAUUUUGCCACUUGCGUUAGGGGCGCGCGGUAGAUUUUG